CGGACGGGUGAGUAACACGUGGAUAACCUACCUAUAAGACUGGGAUAACUUCGGGAAACCGGAGCUAAUACCGGAUAAUAUAUUGAACCGCAUGGUUCAAUAGUGAAAGACGGUUUUGCUGUCACUUAUAGAUGGAUCCGCGCCGCAUUAGCUAGUUGGUAAGGUAACGGCUUACCAAGGCAACGAUGCGUAGCCGACCUGAGAGGGUGAUCGGCCACACUGGAACUGAGACACGGUCCAGACUCCUACGGAGGCAGCAGCG
This 262-nucleotide ribosomal RNA is filed under the name uncultured Staphylococcus sp. Its description in RNAcentral is "partial 16S ribosomal RNA". It matches the Rfam family "Bacterial small subunit ribosomal RNA", at positions 99 to 356 of the family's 1533-position model. Lineage: Bacteria; Bacillati; Bacillota; Bacilli; Caryophanales; Staphylococcaceae. The record is from RNAcentral.